Molecule: ribosomal RNA, 427 nt
Filed under: Diachea dictyospora
Lineage: Eukaryota; Evosea; Eumycetozoa; Stemonitida; Stemonitidae
Description: SSU rRNA
Rfam family: Eukaryotic small subunit ribosomal RNA
Source: RNAcentral
ACACGUAUGAAAGACAAGCUGCAAGACUUUUCUCAAUGAUGUAAGUGGUGGUGCAUGGUCGUUCUUAGUUCGUGGAGUGAUUUGUCUGGUCUAUUCCGAUAACGAGCGAGACCCCGGCGUUCCUACUAGGGGCAGCAGCCCGGCUCGGUCGCAAGGCCCUGUUAGCCGCUGCCUCGAACAAGCUUCUUAGACGUAUCAGAGCCGAUAAGGUUCUUGAAAUGGGUUAAUAACAGGUCAGUCAUGCCCUUAGAUGUUCUGGGCCGCACGCGCGUUACAAUGGCACGUAAAAAGAGUGCUCACAAGGGCGUAUCUGCGGCUCUACGGGUCGCGGUAACCCUUAGUCCCUGCCUUGACUGGGACAGACUAUUGUAAUUAUUGGUCUCAAACGAGGAAUUUUUAGUAGUCGCAGGUCAUUAGCCUGCGACGA